CUGGCGAACUGCUGAAGAUAAUUCAUGGCAAAGGAGAUGAAACUGAAGUCGAGUUUUGUCAUGUUCUUUUCUCUGAGCAUGCAUGAGAAUGAAUGUUUCAGAGAGUGGUAGAAUCAUUUGUUCAUUCAUGCAUUCUUUUUCAGUAACCUCUUUAUCAUAGUCAGGGUCACAGUGGAUCUGGAGUCCAUCCUGGGAACAAUGGGCUUCAGGCAGGAAUACACCCAAGAUGGGACACCGGUCCAUUUGGGAUUAAAUUUCCAAAAUGGGGCAUGAAAUUAUCUGCUUUCCAUAGUUUAUCCCUAGAAGGCUGUGGAGUAACCGACAGAGAAUGGGUGCAAUGUGAGCCAAGUGCUCAAAGUAUGUGAGCACUUGAAUUGCAAAUUUAAGCUCAUUUUAUUUAUUAAGCUUUGUUUUUGAAAAAUACCCCAAUGAAGAAGGAGUCAGUAACCUAAACGUUAUGAAAGCAUGAAUAAGGAUCUUUGCAUCUUUCAGACUAUGUAUAAAGUUGAUUAGGGCGGUACCGCAGAGAUAAAGAAAAAAGCUCUUCGUUAGUUCCUUUAAAGGUGGGUUGAAAAAAUAAACAGGAACAAGGUUGUAAAUACGUAUUAGAAAAGGGCUUAAUAGUGGCAAUCAAUGGGUCAUUUUACAAAUCAGUAUUUUGAGAGCAACAAGUCAAAACAUUGGAUUCAAAGUACGUGCAUAAUUUCAAUGAUGGACAAGCAGGUGAUAGAGAAGCCAGAGCUUCAUACUGAGUUACAUUCGACAUGGCAUUUGCAACGCAGUGGACAUUAAGGUAGAGCUGAAGAAUUACUUGAUCAUUAUAAGAUCAUUAUUGAGCUCUAGGAGUUCUAUACUGUGGAAGGAAACUGACCGGACAGGCUCGAAUUAACUCUUAGGGGCUAGUUAUCAAUCUAGCGGUUUAGAUAGAAAUGGAAGCUUCGCAGUAGCUGUGGGCUCCUGAGUAGUGCAAAGGAAAAGCAUUUGCCCUAUCGUCUAGAGAAUACCAAUGAUGCCACAACCAUCCAUGGCCCGGUGAACAAAGGAGAACAAAAUUUGUUCUCAGGGUGGGAGGGAUGGCUCCUGUAUCACUCACAAUGAUGCAGAGUCAAUCACAGGCAUACGUGAGCUCAUGCAUGCAGGAUAGGAACGAUGGCGCUUUCCUCCGAGUGUGUUACGCUGACAUGUGAUGAUGCAUGAGCAGCAGUUCGAAAAGAUGCAGAGGUUGGCUUCACGUGUCUCGGAGGAUACACGCUCUAGCUAACCCUCCCUACCCGGUAGGUAGUUUCGUCUUUUGACAGGGAAGAGUUAGCUUGCGGAUGAGAAGUGACGAGACCAAAUGAGGGAGAAAACGGGGAGAAAGAAAUGAACUAUAGGUGGCUUAAGAAGUUUAUUUAUUAUUUACAGCAGCAAAAAUGAGUUUGAUUGAUAAUAGAGCUGUAAUAAGAUGAACAAAACAGUAUUUAGGGCAUCCUUGCACUUAAGUAAUUGGUCACUAUAAGUCACGGCAUGGAUAGUAAAGCCUGUGUUCUGAGACAAGCGCUUAAGAAGCUUACCUGCUGCUUUUAUAACAUGAAGUUCUGGUGUGUAAAAGGACAGAACCAGUCAAAGCAAAGCCACAGAAUCUCUUGUGCAUGUCUUUCUGACAGACUAAAUGCCAAACUGUCAAACCUAAAAUGAGUAUAUGCUACAUGUUCCAGCGAGUCUGGAAGAAUUUGGCAGUUAAGUGACUCGCUGCGGCAUCAACAUCAGCGAAACGACAGCACAAGUUCCACUCUAGUUGUAAUAAGCCAACAUCGCGGAGGCUUCUCCUUAACCAGAAUGUAACACAAGGGAUCAUAGUGUCCGUUAGGGAUGUGACCAAAUGAUAUGAAUACGUUAUUUGGAAUAGAACAGACAAUGUGUUCAGAACGGAUACAAAUACUGACCCAGAUAAGAGACGCACUAGGCAGAUUUUUUCACAGGUUCCCGGGGCAUCUGGCUGAGACUAGGAGUGCGCAUCGGGACGGGGACGCCAUUGGCCGUGACCGAAAAAAGUCAUGUAUGUGAGAGGUUUUUACCUUCAUGUGUGCUGUGCUGAGUGAUGCGUUUAAAAAAAGCAUUAAACCCUUGCUCUAAAGUAUACUACUAGUUUGUUUACAUUUUUUUGGAAAUACAAACAAGUGAAUUUCAGGUGAAAGGCAGGUACAAACACAAACAUCCAUCGCCGAGACCAAAUAUGAACUUGAGCGAUGUAGCUGAGGUUGAGGAACUGUCAGAGCCAGAAUUCACACAUCAUGUGUGACAGUGCUGGCAUUUCUACCUCUGUUUUUCCCAGUGUUAUCGCUCAAGCCAAAGCCGUAAACACGGCGCUAACACAGAUCUAAUUGGGCAUACUGUCCGUCUUACUCCUUGUAAGACAGCUCGUCCUGGUUCGUCUCACUGCACGUGUGUUAAUCCAGCGGUAGAGCUGUCUUAUUGAUUUUGUGGGGAAUAUUUAUGCUGUGGCACUUCUCCAUGUAUCCUGGGAACUCAUAAGAUUGGGCUUUUGCCAAAUGAGCACUGGUAACAGCUUCAUCUUUUAUAACUAAGGGAAGCUUUGAAUGCUAGUAUAUUUUCCAUGCCACUAAUAGUUCCUAUAGACCCAAGUAUUUCAUCAGAAAACAUUAUUCGUAACUGCACGUUUACUUAAUGUCGUUUGGGGGUUGUUUUUUUUUACUUAUCCUUCAGUACACAAAGAACAAAUGACAACGCUUUGGAGCUUAUUGUCCAUCUGCCACUCUGUAACAUCAGGUUUAAUAUUAGGAUAGCUGUCGAAUGCUUUUAAAAAAUAAUAAUGCCUUUUGAUUUUAGCAGCUACAAAAUCAGGUUAACAUUGCUGUUAAGUUUCGUCUCUGUGGGAAAUCCAAUUCUACAAAACAGAAUAUGACUGACUGUGGGCGUAAAAGAAACAGACAGAAAGUGGGGGGGAAAAACAGAUAUUAUGCAACCGGAUCUCUGAGACCUGAAUGAUGGUGUAUGAGUAACUACUGUAUAUAUUUGCAGGUUUGUAUACGAAUAAGAGGUAAUUCAUUGUCCAUAGCUCCUGCUGUUACACCUCACUGGCAUAUUUUGCAACAUGGAUUUGGUUUCCAGUUGCUAUUUAAAUAACUAGGAGGUGAUUAUUCACCCAUGUUCUCUUGUCACCACAGAUCCCCCUGUCCUCCUGCUGGGGAGGGGGGGGGGGGAAUAGUUACGUAUCAAAUAAAUGCAGACCUUGCAAUCUAAACUUGUCUAGAAUUUUAAAGAAGAGAGAAAUUGCAUUGGAGACUGUUCUCCUUUCCUCAUGAGCAGGUUCCAGCAAGGUCACUAUUCAGAAACAAUUUACCAGGAGCCUGUUUGGGUUCUUAGAUCCCACUGAUAGACUGAAGGGGGAUUGUGAAGGGGGAAAAUGAGCACAACUGUAGAUUAUCAUUCCUGUCAGUUGCCGAGUGAGGUCAUGAGGACGACGCUCACCCCUACAGCACUUUCUCCCAAUAGUCUCUCUCCUCGCUGCGAGCUAGAACAUUUUCAAAGUUAUUUAGUCUGUGUAAGGAUUCGGUCUACUUCAUGCCAUGCUCGAUCCCAGCACUAAAUUCAUGUGCUGAUACAACUUGAAAGGGAAUGGGUUUGAUCUGAAGUGCGCCGGUGCUGAUGUAAUGAACUGCAAGAGUAGAAUGACUGAGAAAGGCGAAUAGCAUAGAAAUGGCUCGGUAUAUUAAAUCCACACAGAGAAUUCGUAUAAUACGUCCCCACAUCUGUUCGUGGUGACUUUUUAGGCUUAUUUCAGCGUAAUGUGUGGCAUUAAUAAUCGAAUGCAUUCGCAGCAGAACUAUAACAGAUGCUAAAUUUUUCAUCGGGGGGUUCAUUUGGACAAGAACAGAUCGUAACUUUUGGCCACCUCUCAUGAGCGAGCUUUUCUAAUGGUUCCAUGAUGGUGUCAUUGAGAAAGAAAUCAACCCUAGUCGAAAUUAUCAGCCUGUGCUGGCUAGCAUGGUGACGGAAACAGCUGUUAGUCUGAGAACAGUGGAGAGACCAGGGCCAGAACUGUUUUACUUGUACUACACUACACAGCUAACUUUAUGUUUGAUAUAUCACGUCACUAUCACAUUUAUUCUUUUUUUCCCACACAAAUAAAUAUGCUGUUAUAUGCCAGUAAUACUAGCAAUGACUAGCAAGGGAGGGCUGACAAGAACGGAACUCCAGCAACCAGCGAGCUCAUUCGUUUCUCUAUACAGUCCCUUCGGGAUUUCGGCGAUCGCAGAAAUGAACGCAAAAUCAAGGAAACUAUUUUCAAAAUCACCACAAAUUUUCCGCAAAAUUCGGGCCAAGAGGCGUCAGGUGACGUCAUCACAGCAUGCAUUCAGCCAUAGACCUCUUUGAUUCACUUGCGUCGAACAUGAGUGCAGAGAAAAGGUCUCAUUCGCCGACAAUUUCGCAAAACAAUUUCAUGCAAUUGCGAUUUCACCAAUUCGAGUAAAAAAAAAAAAAACACAAAAAGUUCUGCAAAUUACAUCGCAAAUUCUUUUCAAAACGCAGCAAAAUCGAGCAUUUUUGGCCGCAACAAUCAAAAAAAUAAUAAUUAUAGCAUUCAAUAGUAUGACCUUUCUGGUCAUAGAGGAAAUCAAGUUAAAACCACGCUUCGCAUCCAUGAAUUAAGAGUGUUGUGGUGACGACUCAAGCCUAAGAAGAAAUUUUUUACCGCUUAUCCUGCACAAAGUCGCGAUUGAUAUAAAAAAAAUAAUAACACAAGAUCCAUAAAACCCUAAAUGAUCCCCAAUAAGUUGUGGGGGGAAUAAUAAUAAUAAUAAUAAUA
This is a long non-coding RNA of Ictalurus punctatus (channel catfish), 4810 nucleotides long. NCBI's taxonomy places the organism in Eukaryota, Metazoa, Chordata, Actinopteri, Siluriformes, Ictaluridae. The record is from Ensembl.